RNAcentral lists this ribosomal RNA (428 nucleotides) under uncultured bacterium. Its description in RNAcentral is "bacterial SSU rRNA". It matches the Rfam family "Bacterial small subunit ribosomal RNA", at positions 355 to 776 of the family's 1533-position model. The record is from RNAcentral.
UCGAGAAUUUUUCACAAUGGGCGAAAGCCUGAUGGAGCGACGCCGCGUGGGGGAUGAAGGGCUUCGGUCCGUAAACCCCUGUCAUUUGCGAACAAACCUUAUUCAUUAACACUGAAUGAGCUGAUUGUAGCGGAAGAGGAAGGGACGGCUAACUCUGUGCCAGCAGCCGCGGUAAUACAGAGGUCCCGAGCGUUGUUCGGAUUCACUGGGCGUAAAGGGUGCGUAGGUGGUUGUGCAAGUCUGAUGUGAAAUCUCCGGGCUUAACCCGGAAAUGGCAUUGGAAACUGCAUGGCUAGAGGAUUGGAGGGGGGACUGGAAUACUUGGUGUAGCAGUGAAAUGCGUAGAUAUCAAGUGGAACACCAGUGGCGAAGGCGAGUCCCUGGACAAUACCUGACACUGAGGCACGAAAGCUAGGGGAGCAAACAGG